AACAAAAUGGGUCACCCUUUUAGCCCUCCGCCGCACUCGCACGGGAUGUCCCAAGAGCUCAUAGUGAGAGUAGUCUACAUCAUGGCCACGCUUAUUCUUGAUGACCAUGUUGUGCAUGAUCACACAAGCGUGCAUUAUGUACCAAAACAUCUUUUGAUCCCAAAAUCUAGCCAGUCCUCUCACAAUAGCAAAUUGAGCUUGCAAAAUCUCAAAAUCUCUCUCCAAAUCUUUUCUAGCCGCCGCCUGAGCAUUGUGGAAAUCAAGAUUUCUCUUACCUUUCGGUUUUUUUAACGGCUUCACAAAUGUUUGCCACUUUGGAUAGAUGUCAUCCGCAAGAUAGUAGCCGUAGUUGUACGGUCAUUAGCUACAAACUGCACCGGUGACAGUUCAUCAUUUGCAAUCUUACUCAUCAUUGGUGACUGGUUGACAACGUUGAUGUAAUUCAAAGAUCCAAGCAUUCCAAAAAAAGCAUGCCAAUCCAAGUCUCUUGAUCGGUCACCGCUUCAAGGAUUAUAGUGGAACCCUUUUUUUGUCCGUGGAAUUGGCCAUGCCAUGCCUUUCAACAAUUCUUCCAACUCCAAUGCAUGCAAUCUAUUGAGCUAAGCAUACCUGGGAACCCGCGAGCUUUCUUCAUCUCCAAUAUCCUUGCGGCGUCUUCAGCGUUGGGAGAUCUCAAGUACUCCGGGCCAAACACUUGCACAAUUCCGACUGCGAAGCGCUUGACACACAUGAUGGCUUGGAUCUCACCCAUGGCCAAGUGAUCAUCAACUAGAUCAGCGGGGAUACGGUAUGUCAACAUACGCAAAGCAGUUGUCACCUUCUGAAAGGUGCUUUACCCGAGCUCUCCGGCUGCAUUCCUCCUCUGCUGAAAAAACUUGUCAUGGCUCACUAGUUUCUCUGCAAUGCGCCUGAAAAGCUCGGUGCUCAUCCUAAACCGGCAACGAAAGUAUGACUCGGGGUAUGUGGGAUUCUGCACAAAAUAGUGCAUCAUCAAUCUGUUGUGGGCAUCGAUCCUAUCCCUCCAAAUUUUCUGCCGACCCAUAACCGAACCAUCGUGUUUUUCGGUUUUUUAUUGAUGUGCAUAGCUAAGGUCAUUGCAAGAUCCUCCUCCUCUUUCAUAUCAAAUUCUUCUUCGGAAGAAUCAUAUGACGAACUCAUCUACAAUGUUCAAAACUAGGCUAUAAAAAACUACAAACAACAUGCACAAAAUUUCAUGUAAAAAUAUGAAGUUGGAAGCAAUACAUACCUUGCGGGCAUUUUGUCGAACACCUUACGGGCGCCAAGCGGCAGUGGGCGGCCGGGCGCUGCUUGUCGGAGGACUGCCGCGCACGACGGGCGGCGCUGACUAGAGGGAGACGGAGGAAGCCACAGCCACGCGGGGAAAGACCGGGGAAGCUCCGGAAUGGUCGCCGAAAAAAAUAGGGUGGCGCGGCCAGCGGCUGGAUGGGUAGGUGGAGUUGCGAGCGAGGGCUCGAGAGUCCAACAUGCGGAAGCGGGCGCAGCAAAUAAGCGGCACGCAAUGGCGCUUCCGCCCGCGCGCUGAAUUAGAUAUGCCGCGCACGCGAUUUUUGUGCAUCCGCUGGAGCGUCCAGAGCGGUAACGCACACGCUAAAAGCACUAAUUUUCAGCAUGACGUUUAUAUAGUGCGGCUAUUAGAGAUGCUCUGAGUGCAUGGCCGGACUGGAGGAGGUGUUGACGCGAGGCAGAAAGUGGGUCCGGUGUAUCGGGAGUGCUGUGCUGACAAACAUGCAGUGCGAUCCGAACCACAUGCCGUCGUCGUCGGCAGCGGCCAGAGGCGGUGUGGGUGCCGGUUGUGUGGUGUGCGCCACGCCAGCGCCGCUGAGGAGAAAGGUCGGCCGGGUUAGCAUAGCAUGCAAUUGGUUUGGACGGCAAGACAGAGAAGAAAGGGUGCAAACGAAUGAGCAGAUUUGCACCUGUGCGAGCAGUGGCCGUUGCCAACAACGAGAGCAGCGGACAUAACGGGUCCGUGGUCGCAGGCGAGGAGGCACCGGAACCGGAAGCAGCGGCCGGAUCACUACUUUGCGUUUGCGUCGAGGUUUGAAGCCCUGAAGUUAGUAUAAAGUUGAGUCAUCUAUUUUGAAAUGGAAGGAGUGGGUGAGUGGGGUGGCAGCCAUGCAGUCAGUUAUUAUAGUCCGGCAGCAACGGAUCCGUUCGCCCCUGUAUGUGUAUCUGUAUCUGUAUAUGAGCGAGCGUUGCAGCGACGUGGUAGAGGCGGAGUGUUAACUAGGCAUACUAUACGCCAGCCUAGUUAGGUUUUUCUCAUGGCAGUUUUUUUCCUCCGCAACUCCCGGAGCACCUAACCUAGGCGAUUAGGGUUUACGGGUGGAACUCGGUGGCGCACGCUGAAUCUCGGCGAGGCGAUCAGACUGAAACUUGCUGAUGGCUUUGUCGUCAACGCAGGACCGAGGAAAGGAUCCCUUGUCGCCGCGGACGGCGAGGGAAAAGUUAGCGGAGGCCUUGGGGAAACUCGACAUCACCGAGGAGGAGGCCACGCCGCUGGUGCUAGACGAUGCGGAUGAGGGAGCGUCGGAGAAGUGGAUGUUGGCCGGGAAAGUGCUUCACAGGAAUAUUCUCCACAUCCAGACCAUCACCAAUGCACUUCGUCCAGCCUGGGGAAACCCUAGAUGUCUGGACUUCAAAUCUGUAGUGGAAAACACGUUUGUGGCCGAGUUCGUGAACCGGAGGGAUCGUGAUCGUGUCUGGCAAGGGGCGCCAUGGCAUAUUAGCAAGCACGCCGUCAUCCUCUCAGAUUUCGAUGAGUGCAUGCGCCCCUCUGAACUGCGGUUUGACAAACUUCAGAUGUGGGCUAGGGUUGUCAAUCUACCCUUCAACCUACGCAAUGAAAAGUGGUGUGCAGCGAUCACUAAACAGAUUGAUGAGCACGCAUCAGAUGUGAUCUUUGAUCACACCAAUGGCUAUCUGAGAGCCAAAGUGACAGUGGAUGUGAACAAGCCAUUAAGGCGUUGGAUCCUGAUCGAAUCAGCGAGAAGGAAGAGUAUGGAUCCCUAUGACAUUCAUUAUGAGAACAUCCCGCACUUCUGCUUUUCAUGUGGUCAUUUAGGCCACUCGGACUUGUACUGUCCAACCCCGGGGGCUAGAGAUGCCAAUGGUGAACUGCCCUUUGGGAAGGGACUGCGAGCUUCGGAUGAACGCAAAAAAGGUAGCUCCAGUGAGAACACGCCCAGAGAGCAUCAUGCGAAUCAGAACAACAAGGCUGAGACAAGAGGUUCGACCACUGAAGCUGAGAAAGGAGCCGAGGUAAACUCCCCACUUAAAACCAGAAACCAGAACAAGCGGAAGGGGGGCCGCCGGCUAACAAGCAGGUGUGCAGGAGGGUCGUUGUACCUUUGCUGACUAAUGAGGCAUUUGAAGCUGCACCUGGUGACCAAUUCCCAAAACCUACAGAGGAGGAUCCCAGCGCCUCUUCCGUCGACGAGGAUGGGGAGAGAGUUCCCAAGAAGAAAAAACCAAUCCCGGACAACUCUGGGCAUUCGGCAGGGCUGCACCUUCGCAAUGAAUUGCCUCAGCUGGAACUGCCGCGGGCUUGGGAACCCAGCGGCAGUUCGAGAGCUUCGCAGUAUCGUGAAGCAGAAAGGGCCCGGUCUCCUCUUUCUGAUGGAGACGAAAAUUUCGGCAAAACGAGUUGAAAACUUGAAGACCACACUUGGUUCUGCAGGUUGUUUUGCUGUAAACAGUGAGGGAUUGAGUGGAGGAGUUGCGCUAUUCUGGUCAACCGACGUCAAGGUUGAGCUCAAGAAUUUUAGUUCUGGCCAUAUUGAUGUUAUGGUGCAGACAAAUGACCCGGAUUCGAGUCCGUGGCGCUUCACGGGAUUCUACGGAGCCCCUAGAGCAGCAAAUCGACACCAUAGCUGGAGAUUUCUGCGUACGCUCAAAGCACUGCCUCACGCGCCUUGGCUGUGUGUGGGCGACUUUAAUGAACCACUUUUUGCCUCGGAACACUUCUCGCAAGUUGUUCGUCCGGAGUGGCAGAUGCGAGCUUUCCGAGAGGCUACUGAUGAUUGAUUGUUCCAGGAUCUCAGAUGGACUGGGGCAGAGUAUACAUGGGAUAAUGGUCAACCGGGUGUUGAUAAUGUGAAAGUGAGGCUGGAUCGAGCCUUUGGUAACUCGGACCUACUUCACCUGUACGGCUGCUGAAAGAUCGAGGAUGUCGCCUAGAGGGGGGUGAAUAGGCGCUUUAAAAUAAUUACGGUUUAGGCUUGAACAAAUGCGGAAUAAACCUAGCGGUUAAUUUGUCAAGCACAAAACCUACAACAACUAGGCUCACAUAUGUGCACCAACAACUUGUGCUAAGCAAGAUAAGCAACUAUGUGAUAGCAAGAUAUAUGACAAAGAACAAUAUGGCUUUCACAAAGUAAAGUGCAUAAGUAAAGGGGCUCGGGUAAGAGAUAACCGAGGCACGCGGAGACGAUGAUGUAUCCCGAAGUUCACACCCUUGCGGAUGCUAAUCUCCGUUUGGAGUUUUGUGGAGGCACAAUGCUCCCCAAGAAGCCACUAGGGCCACCGUAAUCUCCUCACCCUCGCACAAUGCAAGAUGCCGUGAUUCCACUAAGGGACCCUUGAGGGCGGUCACCGAACCCGUACAAAUGACGACCCUUGGGGGCGGUCACCGAACCCGUACACUUUGGCAACCCAUGGGGGCGGUCACCGGUACCCGUCAAAAUUGCUCGGGGCGAUCUCCACAACCUAAUUGGAGACCCCGACGCUUGCCCGGAGCUUUACACCACAAUGAUUGAGCUUCAAACACCACCAACCGUCUAGGGCACCCAAGCACCCAAGAGGAACAAGCUCAAAGGCACCAAGCACCCAAGAGUAAUAAGCUUCUCAACUUGUAACUUCCACGUAUCACCGUGGAGAACUCAAACCGAUGCACCAAAUGCAAUGGCAAGGGCACACGGAGUGCCCAAGUCCUUCUCUCUCAAAUCCCACCGAAGCAACUAAUGCUAGGGAGGAAAAUGAGAGGAAGAACAAGAAGGAGAACACCAAGAACUCCAAGAACUAGAUCCAAGGGGUUCUUCUCACAUAGAGGAGAAAGUGAUUGGUGGAAAUGUGGAUCUAGAUCUCCUCUCUCUUUUCCCUCAAAAACUAGCAAGAAUCCAUGGAGGAAUUGAGAGUUAGCAAGCUCGAAGAAGGUCAACAAUGGGGGAAGAACACGAGCUCUAAGGAUUAGGUUCAUUGGGGAAGAAGACCCCCUUUUAUAGGACCUUCCGAAUCCAACCGUUAUGUGCUCAGGUCGUGCACAAGCGGUACUACCGCUUGGAGGAGCGGUACUACUGCUUAGCACGGUCAAAACAGACCAAACGAGAGAGAAAACACGAGAUUUUGGUCCGGGGCGGUACUACCGCUUAGGAGCCACGGUAGUACUGCUCUGGAGCGGUACUACCGCUCAGGAGCAGCGGUAGUACCGCUCUGGAGCGGUAGUAAAAAAUUACAUCCGCUCUAGUCGCGGUAGUACCGCUGCAGCCUUUACCAAAACAGCCACAACUUUUGCAAACGGACUCCGAAUUCAACGAAACCAAGUUUGUUGGAAAGCUAACGACAUGAGCUAACACAAUAUUGAUAGAAAUAUCAAGAAUAAGAAAAUGAGAAAAGUCCCAUAAGAAAAUGGUGAGAACCCUUCAUCGGAUAAGAUCGGUAAAACCUCCAACACCGAAAACAUCAUAGAAGACGCAUGCGAACUCCGUUUUUGAUGAACUCAAGCUUGUCAUCAAGAUGACCAUAAGCUAUAAGACUCACAAAGAUAACCAAAUAAGAACCAAGAAACAUGAUGCAAGGAUGCAAUGGUUUGAGCUCUCUACUACCGAUACGAUCAAGCUACCAACUUGAGAGCCCCCUUGAUAGUACGGCAAACUAUCCUAUAACUCGGUCUCCCAACUACCACCACAAGACCGGUAAAAUAGAAAACCUAUCAAGGGAAAACCUUUGCCUUGCACAUGGUCCACUCGAGCUAGAUGAAGACGAUCUUGACUCCCUCAAGUUGGACCACCUUUCUUGAUUGCGUUGGCUCGAUGAAGACUAGAUGAUUGCUCCCCCAUAGUUCACUAUGGGUGAGCCACUCUUCGGCACAUCUUCACAAGUCCAUUGACACCAAAUGGAUGGCAAGAUUCAAGCACUUGAUCUAUUCGUGAUGCUCCACUUGAACUUGCACACGGCAAUCUUGAUGACGAUCACCACUUGAUGUCAUCCUUUCCAUGGGUUGUAUGAUAUCUUCCUCUUGACGCAAGCCCAUGGAUACGUACCUAACCCCACAUACAACUCUCACAUAGACCAUGGGUUAGUACAAGAAGUGUAAUGGACAAUGCUUACCAUACCAUGGGAUCACUUGAUCCCUCUCGGUACAUCUUCUACGCUUUGUGAGUUGAUCAACUUGAUUCACUCUUGACUUAGUCUUGAUCAACCUUGAAUCUUUGCAACUCUCUUCAUUUGGAUGAUGUCUUGAAGGUAAACAUGAAUGAUCACACAACCUUCUUCUUCAAGACAUGCUUGCAAUAAGCUCAACACUCGCAUGACCAAUCUUUGGAUAAUUCCUUAAUAGCACCUUGGUCAACUCAAAAACUCCUUGAAACCAACACAUGGACUUCAAGAAAAACCUAUGGUCAAAUCCUUCAAAUACAACUCAAGACAACCAUUAGUCCAUAGAGAUUGUCAUCAAUUACCAAAACCAAACAUGGGGGCACCGCAUGUUCUUUCAAUCUCCCCCAUUUUGGUAAUUGAUGACAAUCACUUUCAAGAGAGUUUAUAUAAGGAAUUAUGAAUCACCAUGCAAUGCAACAACUAAUAGUGCAUGCGAAUGAGUUGCAAAUGCUAAGGAACAAAAACAAAGCAAGAAGAGAUAACUCUCUAGACUUCUCCACAAAACUCUCUGAAACUUCUCCCCCAUCGGCAUCGAUUGCCAAAAUGGGCGAAAAUCUAAGAAGGCCAAUAUAAGAGUGUUCCUCCAUAAAUUGUGUAUCUCUCAAAAAUAGAGUGGAAUGCAAUACACAUAUCCAAUGGUAAAUACUUGGAGGAACACAAACUAUAUUGAGGCCCAAGAUUGCAAAAGAAUGAUAUGCCACAAAGACAUAACAAAGAGAGAAACAAGCAAUCGAGCAAUCAAAAGAUACCAAUUGAAGCAAGCAAUCAAAUGAUAUCAAUUGAACCAACUAGACCAAACAUCCUAUGAGCCACAAGAAUGAAGGAUAUUAUGAUAUGAGCAAAGGAGUAUUCUAAAUAAGCUAGAGAAGCUCCCCAUGAUUUGUGCACACAUAAGAAUAUUUGUAUUUGGAUACAAAGUGCACAAAAUAGGAUCAUAGCUCCCCCAAAAUCAAUAGAAACUCACAUCCAGUGCAAGUGAGCAUAUAGGAAACAAAGCCUAGCGCUUGCAACAAGCACAUGGUUGAGCAACAUGUAAAAGAGGCAACUUAAGAAUAGGCUCAACCAAAAUGAUGUGUGUGAGUCAUGGCGAAGCACUUGAGAAGACUAAGAUUAGGAUGAGCAUUAAGCAUCAACAUAGUCUUGAAAGAAUGAGGCACACGGUGCAAGGCCUAUCAUUCCCACAGACAACUGGCAAAUGGGUUUACAAGCUUACUAAUAAGCAAAAGAGAACCUAUGCUUGUGACAACCCGUGGUGAAGAUAGACGAGGGGAGACUCAUCAAGACGAGGGAUACCAAUUAAGAUGGCAAAAACCUCGUAAAGAUAAGCAAGAGGAAGAUAAUCUUCACCACACAAGAGUGCAACAAGAUGCAACGAUAGAGGACACGCACUCAAGGCAAAAGCUUGCACGGAGCCACCAAAGAAAUAACAUAAGAAAGACAAGGUGGACGUGAAAGAAAAGAUAUCAACUAGAGAUGUAAUUUCUCUCAAGUGUAUAAGGUUCUAUGUAGACGAAAUCAUGAUGAUAUAUAUAUAUAUAUAUAUAUAUCUACAAAGAAUGAUGUACACCCGAAAUAGUUACAACACGAAGGAACAAGAUAUCCACAAGGAAGUCAUAAAUAUACCAAUAAGAUAUUUGCUUGAAAGCAUAGCACUUGGCUAGAUAUGGUCUUAUUGUAUAUAAAUGAAGUCGAAACACACAUCCAUCAAAGGCAUCACAACUAGCAACUAGAGAUCAUCAUUUGGAUGCUUUGAGAAAGGAAACAAGUAUCACAAGAUAUGAAAUGAAAAUCAUGCCAAGAUGCAAUCUACACAAGGUUGAAUGCAAGAGGAGAAAGCAUGAAUAGAUACUUGUUACUGAGAUAUCAUUGGAAGGAUGUAGUAGAUACCAAUUUAAGGUAGAUAGUAGUUCAUUGAUCACCCGAGCUUGACUCCAAUAUGCACAUGGUGACAACACCUUCCUUGUGAGUGAGCUGAGCAUCCAAUGCAUCUCCAAAUGUUCCUAGAAGAACAACACAAACUAAACGGUACCCAAACUCAUCGGGACCAAAUAGUUAGAAACACCAAUACAUAGGACAAACUCCACAUAAAUAUGUGAAUAUAGAUAUGAAAAUGAAUUUCAUGCACAUCUCAUCCAAAUUGAGACUAGGUGGAGUUUCCCCUAUAUAUUGAGUCAAAGAAAGAAAGCAUGCAAAAUAAAAUACAUGAAGUAAACAUGCAUGCUCAAGACUUUCAAAACCCGAAACCAAAAGACAAAAAAAAUGCCAAGUGAAAAGGAUACCAAAUGGAGAAAUAAUCACUUGGAAGAUAUCAUUAAAGAUACAUCAAGGAAUGAGAUAUCCAUUGAUACGCACUAAACUAAAGAUGUCAAACUCCCAAAGAGAGGAUGGUUCCAAACAUACCAAGCUCUCAACAAAGUUUCAUGAUGGCACAAAGUACCAAAAAGGAAUGGCUUGCCUUCCACCAAAACACACUUGAUAAGGAUCACAAGAAGAGUGAAGAAAAUAGAAUAGCUCCCCCCACGAGUUGUGCAUUAUAUAGGAUUUGUAUUUGAAUACAAAAUGCACAAGGUGGGAUCACUGCUUUCACUAUAUCUAGAAAACACUAGACAAGAACAAGAAAUAAACAAGAUCCACAAGUGGUAUGGAAGACAAGGGAGUUAACACAAACCUUGGCAAGAGAAAAAGGCAAAUAAACAAAAGCCAAUGUAAAGAUGAUCAAUUAAAUUCUACCACACAUAAGUGACUACCAAUUGUCAAAAGACAAGAAGUAGAUGGAAAGAAUUCCCGGUGGUAGAUAGCAAGGAUAUCCUACAUCAUCUUCACACCACACACAAGCAAAUUGCAACUUGUAGAGCUAACAUGCCACCUAGGAACAAGAUAAUUUACAAUAUCAAUUCUAGGUGACAAUAUCUCAAAUGUACACAUUUUCUAGGCUUGUAAUAUGCACUUAGUAUAUUACUCCCCCAUAAUGUGAUACCAAUAAGAACUAAACAAGAGGCAAUAAGAGGAUCCAACACAAGAUAAUCAAUGGAAUUUUUAGAAUUUGAAUUUCUCAUGAGAGAUAUACCACCUAGCGACUAGAUAAUCUUGUAAUAUCAAUACUAGAUGGUAUUCCUCAUGUACACACAUUUAUAGGAUUGUGAGGUGCACAAAGCACAUCACUCCCCCAAAAUGGGAUGUUCCAUUGAUCUCUCACACGAGCCAACUAGGAUACAAACAGGAAGCAAAAAGGCUCAACGCACGACGCACACGUACAUGAUGUGCAAACCAACACACACAUACUUGAUUGCUCAAGAUAAGCAAGUUGGAAGCGCAACAUAUACAAACACAUGCAAGGAACAAAAACAAAACAUGCAAGGGGGCAAGUAACUUUCAAGGUAAACAAUUUAAGUACAAGUUACCGCAAGGAGGCACAUUGGAUAUAAGAUAGAAACUUGAUAAUCCAAUUGACUUGGCUUGAGACAAAGAGAAUUAUGAAGUCCCCUUAAUUCUUCAUAAUGUAGCCAAGUCUCCAAUGCCCUCCAACAACACCUAUUGAUCAAGUUUGAGCUUGUUGGUCCCCAACCAAGUUGGGUCCUAAGAGGUUAGUCACAAUAGGUUUGGCUACCCAAAUGGUUCUUUGCUUGACACCACUUUGAGUACCAACAAACUUGGCAAACGCAUUGCCAACCUUAUCCUUACCAAGAGAAUAGAUAUCAUAAAUAAUAAUUGGGUUGGAUAAGUUACCACUAGUGCAUGAAGAAGCAAUGUGACCUUUCUCACGACAUAAGUAGCAAUGUCUACUCUUCACUUUCUUCUCACUUGAUUUCUCAAUUUGAGAAGCAUUAACUUGAGUCUUCUUGGGAAGAGGCCUUUCUUUAACUUGAUGUUGAGCAUGAGAUUGAACUUGUGCCCUCUUCCCUUGUUGCUUGACACUAAUGGCCUUCUUCUUCAAUGGGAAAGAUCUAACAUGAUGCCCUUCUACUUUGCACUUGAAGCAAACAAUCUUGGCCGAAUUCUUGACUUGUUCUUGGCCCUUCUUUUUGUUCAUGUUGGACUUCUUCUUCUUAUUGGAGUUGAAUCCAAGUCCACCUUUGUCAUUGGGGGAUUUUUGCACACUCAAGAUAUUGUUGAGUGUGGAUUUCCCUUCAUGACACUUUUCCAAGUCUUUAUUCAAAGAAGUGACUUGGGCCUUGAGCUCUUUGAUUUCCUCUACAUGGUUAGUCUCAACACAAGUACUAGAGGAAGUAUAAGCUUCAUCAUUAGAGCAACAAGGCAAGGAAAGCAAUUCAUCACAAGAUGUACCAACAUUGUGAGUAGAUGAAUUACAAGGACUAGCACAUGGCAAUAUACUAUUUUGACUAGAAGUAGUGCUAGUAUCCACAUGAGGCUCACUAGAUGUUACCUUAGCAAUCAUGGCCUCAUGAGCUAUCUUUAGCACACUAUGGGAUACUAGAAGAUCAUAAUGAGAGCUUGAGAGCUUUUCAGGACUUUCUUCCAAUUUCCCAUAAUUGCAAGAUAGCACCUCAAGUUGAGCCCGUACCUCAACAUUCUCCUUCAAAAUGGAUGCUUCAGAAGUAAUAGAAUUAGUAGCACAAGCAUCAUCAUUAACAACAAGAGGAGAAGGCAACUUGGCAAGCUCUUUUAAAUAAUAAGCUUCAAGUUGAGCAUGAGACUCGGUGAGUUUGAUGAGCUCACCCUUGAUGACCCUUGAGCCAUUUUCGAGGUGCUCAAAAUCCUCAAGGAGUCUAGCAUGAGCAACUUCAAGCUUAGCAUUUUUAGUUUCAAAAACAUUGGCCACCUUAAUAGCUCUAUCAGUAGAUUCCUUCACUCUAGACAAUUCUAGAGCAAAAGUCUCCUCAAGAGAUUCCUUGGUGGUUUGUUCAAGUUCAAGAGCUUGAGAGAGGUCCGCAAUCUCAUUAGCGUAAUCACGCCCAUGACCUUCCAUUUUAUCAAUGGUGGCCUCAUGCUCCUCUAGAUGAGAUUCCAACUCCUCAAUGUAUUUCUUGCCAUCAAUGGCAAUGGACAUUAUUUCCAUGAAGUUGGAACGAGCAAUUUUAUUUUUAUGAAGAGCUUUAAAAAUCAUUUCCCCCUUAGUUUUUAAGGAGGCAACAUUAUCAUUCUCUUCAUCAUUAUCCUCAUCAUCAUUAGCAUCAACAUCAUCAUCAAGAGACAUAUUGGGGUACAAAGUAGGAGAUAACUUUGACGCCUUAGCCAUAAGGCAAAAAGCAAUAGAUGAUGAUGUAGGAUCCCUUGAGGCACCAUUAAACACCACAUCUUGUUCCAUGGAGUGUUCGGUUUCCUCUACAUUGUUAGCACAAUAAUUCGAGGAAAUAGAUGCAUUUUUAUCAUGGCAACAAGACAUAGCAAGCAUAUCAUCAUGCAAUUUAGUCAAGCAAUUUCUACAUGAUAUGCAAGGACUAUCAACACAAGCAUGUGAAACAUUUGGAGUGCUCGAAGUGUUAAAGCCCAAAGAAGGAGCAUUGCAAUAAUAUAGUGAUGAAGGAUCCUCCACAAUAAGCAUAAUAUCACCAUUUCAAUGACCAACACUACUCACCAUAUCAUUACCUUGUGGAAAACCACAUGUAGGUGAAGUAGAAGAAGUUGAGAAGACUAUACGACCGGAGGUGGAGGGGGAAUAAUCAUCCCCACAAAUAUUGGACACACCAUAUUUAUCUUGAAGCUUUGUCCACAACUCAUGAGCAUCCCGGAAUGGCAUGAGUUGAAAAAUAACUACAUUACUCAAAGCAUCAAAAAGCACAUUAGAAGCUUGAGCAUUGAGAUAAGAGUUUUCCUCAUCCUCUAAAGAUAAUCUUUGGAGAUCCUUUGGAGGAGAAAAACCCAUAUCUACAAUUCGCUCUAAAUUUGGGUCCAUGACCCUAAAGAGAUUAAGCAUGCGAAUUACCCAAACAUCAAACUUUGUGCCAUCGAAACUAAGAGUGUCAGAGAAUCCUAAUCGCCUAGUCGACAUCUUUACUUUCUAGGCGGUAAAGCCUAAUAAAGAAAGACGAGGCUCUGAUACCAAUUGAAAGAUCGAGGAUGUCGCCUAGAGGGGGGGUGAAUAGGCGCUUUAAAAUAAUUACGGUUUAGGCUUGAACAAAUGCGGAAUAAACCUAGCAGUUAAUUUGUCAAGCACAAACCUACAACAACUAGGCUCACCUAUGUGCACCAACAACUUAUGCUAAGCAAGAUAAGCAACUAUGUGUUAGCAAGAUAUAUGACAAAGAACAAUAUGGCUUUCACAAAGUAAAGUGCAUAAGUAAAGGGGCUCGGGUAAGAGAUAACCGAGGCACGCAGAGACGAUGAUGUAUCCCGAAGUUCACACCCUUGCGGAUGCUAAUCUCCGUUUGGAGCGGUGUGGAGGCACAAUGCUCCCCAAGAAGCCACUAGGGCCACCGUAAUCUCCUCACGCCCUUGCACAAUGCAAGAUGCCGUGAUUCCACUAAGGGACCCUUGAGGGCGGUCACCGAACCCGUACAAAUGGCGACCCUUGGGGGCGGUCACCGAACCCGUACACUUUGGCAACCCUUGGGGGCGGUCACCGGUACCCGUCAAAUUGCUCGGAGCGAUCUCCACAACCUAAUUGGAGACCCCGAUGCUUGCCCGGAGCUUUACACCACAAUGAUUGAGCUUCGAACACCACCAACCGUCUAGGGUGCCCAAGCACCCAAGAGGAACAAGCUCAAGGGCACCAAGCACCCAAGAGUAAUAAGCUUCUCAACUUGUAACUUCCACGUAUCACCGUGGAGAACUCAAACCGAUGCACCAAAUGCAAUGGCAAGGGCACACGGAGUGCCCAAGUCCUUCUCUCUCAAAUCCCACCGAAGCAACUAAUGCUAGGGAGGAAAAUGAGAGGAAGAACAAGAAGGAGAACACCAAGAACUCCAAGAACUAGAUCCAAGGGGUUCCCCAAACAUAGAGGAGAAAGUGAUUGGUGGAAAUGUGGAUCUAGAUCUCCUCUCUCUUUUCCCUCAAAAACUAGCAAGAAUCCAUGGAGGGAUUGAGAGUUAGCAAGCUCGAAGAAGGUCAACAAUGGGGGAAGAACACGAGCUCUAAGGAUUAGGUUCAUUGGGGAAGAAGACCCCCUUUUAUAGGACCUCCCGAAUCCAACCGUUAUGUGCUCAGGUCGUGCACAAGCGGUACUACCGCUUGGAGGAGCGGUACUACCGCUUAGCACGGUCAAAACAGCCCAAACGAGAGAGAAAACACGAGAUUUUGGUCCGGGGCGGUACUACCGCUUAGGAGCCACGGUAGUACUGCUCUGGAGCGGUACUACCGCUCAGGAGCAGCGGUAGUACCGCUCUGGAGCGGUAGUAAAAAAUUACAUCCGCUCUAGUCGCGGUAGUACCGCUGCAGCCUUUACCAAAACAGCCACAACUUUUGCAAACGGACUCCGAAUUCAACGAAACCAAGUUUGUUGGAAAGCUAACGACAUGGGAUAACACAAUAUUGAUAGAAAUAUCAAGAAUAAGAAAAUGAGAAAAGUCCCAUAAGAAAAUGGUGAGAACCCUUCAUCGGAUAAGAUCGGUAAAACCUCCAACACCGAAAACAUCAUAGAAGACGCAUGCGAACUCCGUUUUCUAUGAACUCAAGCUUGUAAUCAAGAUGACCAUAAGCUAUAAGACUCACAAAGAUAACCAAACAAGAACCAAGAAACAUGAUGCAAGGAUGCAAUGGUUUGAGCUCUCUACUAACGAUACGAUCAAGCUACCAACUUGAGAGCCCCCUUGAUAGUACGGCAAACGAUCCUAUAACUUGGUCUCCCAACUACCACCACAAGACCGGUAAAAUAGAAAACCUAUCAAGGGAAAACCUUUGCCUUGCACAUGGUCCACUCGAGCUAGAUGAAGACGAUCUUGACUCCCUCAAGUUGGACCACCUUUCUUGAUUGCGUUGGCUCGAUGAAGACUAGAUGAUUGCUCCCCCAUAAUUCACUAUGGGUGAGCCACUCUUCGGCACAUCUUCACAAGUCCAUUGACACCAAAUGGAUGGCAAGAUUCAAGAACUUGAUCUAUUCGUGAUGCUCCACUUGAACUUGCACACGGCAAUCUUGAUGACGAUCACCACUUGAUGUCAUCCUUUCCAUGGGUUGUAUGAUAUCUUCCUCUUGACGCAAGCCCAUGGAUACGUACCUAACCCCACAUACAACUCUCACAUAGACCAUGGGUUAGUACAAGAAGUGUAAUGGACAAUGCUUACCAUACCAUGGGAUCACUUGAUCCCUCUCGGUACAUCUUCUACGCUUUGUGAGUUGAUCAACUUGAUUCACUCUUGACUUAGUCUUGAUCAACCUUGAAUCUUUGCAACUCUCUUCAUUUGGAUGAUGUCUUGAAGGUAAACAUGAAUGAUCACACAACCUUCUUCUUCAAGACAUGCUUGCAAUAAGCUCAACACUCGCAUGACCAAUCUUUGGAUAAUUCCUUAAUAGCACCUUGGUCAACUCAAAAACUCCUUGAAACCAACACAUGGACUUCAAGAAAAACCUAUGGACAAAUCCUUCAAAUACAACUCAAGACAACCAUUAGUCCAUAGAGAUUGUCAUCAAUUACCAAAACCAAACAUGGGGGCACCGCAUGUUCUUUCAGCUGCACACGAGUGAGACACAUCAGUACGGCCGAGUCAGAUCAUUGCUUCAUGCUCAUGGAGCUUAAGGAGCAAGAGUCCGCAUACAAAACAAGAGGAGCAAAACCUUUUCACUACGAGGAAGUAUGGCAAACCCAUGCAGACUACAACCAGAUGGUUUUGGAAAAUUGGCAAAGGGGGUCGGGUCAGCAAGGUUUGGCCGGUGUGCUCACCGCACUUCAGAACAUGCAAGAGUCAUUAUCUGCAUGGGGUGCGAGAGAGUUUGGUAGCCUUACUGCCACCAUUAAGAAACUUCGGGCAAAGCUGGACCGCCUGCGAUGUCAGGCUAUUGGUCGAGGCCCAUCCGAUGAGGAGAAGGCCACAGUAAAAAAGUCGAGAGUACCCUGGUUGCGUCAUGGCGACUGCAACACAAAAUUCUUUCAUGCCCAAGCGGCCAUGAGAAGACGCAUAAACAAGAUCGAAAGACUUGUACGUGAUGACGGCUCUCUCUGUCAAACUCAGGAGGAUGACUAGAGUGAAGUCCAACAGUUUUACCAAGCCCUAUACACGUCGCAGGGUUUCAACCCCAUGGAUGGGCUUAUGGACUUAGUUCCAACCGGUGUGUCUGAUCAAAUGAACGCGCACAUUGACAUGGCCUACACUGCACAGGCGGUCAAAACAGCAUUGUUUCAGAUGGCGCCAUCAAAAGCACCGGGAGUGGACGGCUUCACCGCGGGAUUCUUUCAGAGGCAUUGGACAAUCCUUAAGGAUGACAUUGUACCGGCGGUGCUUGGAUUUCUAAAUGGGGGUGAACUACCGGAGGGGAUGAAUGAUACAUCUAUCACACUAAUUCCUAAGGUACAACAUCCUCAAAGCAUCAAGCAAUAUAGACCCAUCUCCCUUUGUCCUGUUUUAUACAAAAUAGCAGCGAAGUGUAUUGUCAACAGGAUAAGAGGUUUUCUGAAUGAUAUCGUGAGUGAGGAGCAAUAUCAAAGGAGGAAUGCGUUUCCGUGACUUGGAAUGUUUCAAUAUCGCGCUUUUGGGCAAACAUGGCUGGAGAAUGAUGACAAACCCGGAGUCCUUGUGCUCUAGGGUUCUAAAAGGAUGCUAUUUCCCAAACUCUGAUUUUAUGAGUGCUUCUGUGCCACGAAACGCCUCCACGACAUGGAAGGGUAUCAUGGCUGGGAGGAAGGCACUAGAAGCCGGCUUGCUAUGUCGAAUUUGUGAUGGUAUUUCUGUGAAAAUUUGGACUGACCGGUGGCUACCUGGAAAGCUAUCUCUGCAGCCCUCAGUUCAGAUUGGGAGCGCCAACCUUCACACAGUUUCAAACCUUAUCGAUACAGACAACUGGAGCUGGAAAGUUGAUCUUAUAAGGAGUAACUUCACACCACCGGAUGCUGAUGCAAUUCUGAACCUACCUCUCCGGCAAGGUGGUGGCGACGAUUUCUGGGCGUGGGCUCAUGAGGGGUCGGGAUCAUAUACUGUAAAAUCUGCAUAUCAUGCUCUAAUGACCCGUAACGAGCAUUUGGCUCUAGGGGAAGGGACGAUUACUGAAACUUCUGAGAAUGACAAAUAGUUAUGGACUCGGCUAUGGAAGCUCAAGGUGCUACCCAAAGUCCACGUCUUUUGGUGGCGGGUUCUUCGCGGCAUCUUGCCAGUCGAAUCAACACUGAAAUAUAGGCAUAUAGCAACUAUGGCCCGAUGCAAAAUCUGCAAGGGUGCAGACGAAGACAUGGUGCACGCUCUCAUUAAGUGUUCCCAUGCCCUAGGAAAUGGCUCAAUGUCAAACUGCCACACUUACAUCCGAUCACUUGGUGCAAGGACAUUUUGUGUGACACACGCAUCAAUGAAGGGGACCGGCCGAAGAUCAUCACUAUCAUGUGGGCUAUAUGGACUUCUCACAAUAACAUAAUACAUGACAGAGAGAGCUUGCAUCCAGGCCAGUCCCUGAAGCGGAUCCAAGAAGCCCUAAUGUUGUUAGAGCUUCCCGAAGAACAUACUAGGAUCAUACCUGCUUAUGGUUGGAGACCGCCCGACCCAGAGUGGCUCAAGAUAAACACAGACGCUAGCGUCUCACUGACUGAAAAUAGAAGCGGAGCGGGGGGCCUUGCUCGAACCUCAUUUGCCUUUGUUGCUGCCUGGAGCAAGUCGCGCCAUCAUGUCAUGGAUCCGCUCAUCGUAGAAGCCCUGGCUUUACGAGACGGAGUUAUUUUUGGCAAGCUUCGAGGUUCUUCGCGAGUGGUGCUCGAAGUAGAUUGUCUGGAGCUGGUACAACUUUGGAACUCGCGACAAUUUUCGCGCUCUGUCAUAGCGCCUAUUCUUCUUGAAAUUGAUGUUCAUCAUGUAUUGAGACAAGCUAACAACUCAGCGCACCUUUGUGCAAAGCAUGCUAGCAUAUUGGGAGUGACUGGUUGUUGGAUGGACUCUCCUCCCGGUUUCCUAGUGACGAGCCUGAUGGCUGAUCGCGCUGGAGCCGUUUAUGUCUGAAUAAAGCUCUAUGCUUCCCGCAAAAAAAAGGAGUGUUAACUAGGCCUUUGGGCGAAUGGUUCGCUCUAGUCAAGGAUUUUUUUUGUUUGCAGUUAUAGUCAAGGAUGUUGUUAUUGCGACAUAAACACACUGAUGGUGUUUUUUGUUGUAGCCAAAGAAGAUCUUUCUUAGGCAAGAGCACUUUGAGCAACUCCAUGGCGUGACCCAUUUUAUCUGCCUGCAUCCGUUUGGGUCGGAGCGGACAACAGUGGAGGCCCAACACGGCGACCCAAAUGCAAAUCGCGUCUGCCUAUCGUCCGUGCGGACCCAUUUUCGGCCCAAAAUUGCGCCUGGAAUGCCUCGGCGCAGACGAGAAGCGGUCGCAUCGCGCGUCUCCUCGGCGUCCACCGCAUCCCCACCUGUAGGCCACCCAACUGCCACUGGUCGUCUUAUUUAUGACAACCACCGACAGCGGGCCCACUUGUUAGCCUCGGGAAGCGUUCUUUUUUAAGCACGCGUGCAGCGGGGGGGCGUCCUCAUCCACUUCUCCCAUCCACAUCUGCCCCCAACUCCCUUGCUUCCUUCCCGGCGAUAGGAAACCCUAGGCCGCCAUGGGCAUCUUCGGCAACAAUGGCAAGGCCAAGGGCAAGUGCACCCCCGGCGCCUUGUCCUCCCGUGCUCCCCCUCCCCCGCCACCGCCGGUGCGUUUCCGUCCGGAACGCCGGCGCCUGCACAUCCGGUGCACCAAGCGCGGUGGCACUAGGAGUACAGGCAGCCCCUCUCCUACCCUGACGUGAUGUUGCCGCACCAUUGGCACUUGGAUCCCUAGCGGAUCCCGGUGCCAGCGGUUCCGCGGAGCCAGCGAGCGCACGAUGAGGGGGUGCGCCGGCGCCGCGCGCAGCUCACGACGGGGUAGCGUCGGCUGCCCAAGUAGGCCGCCGACUCUCCCAACUAGGAGGCUUGGUUCGCCCUCGAACACGAGGAGCAACGACGCUCGGGUGUCCAUGCCGUCCCGCCACCGUUCCCACCGCCACCGCCAAAGGUACAGCCGGAGGACGAGGUACCAGGCCACCCUCGAGGAGGCCCUGCAGCAGGCGCUGGAGGCUAGCCGCUUCGAGGAGGAUGCGCAUUGGGAUGGGCUGGAGCAAGCCCUCGCCCUAUCGGCGGCGGGGGACUCCGUCCACUCCCCGCUGUUCGUGCCGCCACCGCCAUCCUCGCCACCCAUCCAGCCCAAGCCGGAGCCGGAGCCGACGCGGAAGCGCUCCCCGCCUCCACCCACUUGGCCGGAGGAGGCCUACUCGUGGACGGUCCAGUACCGCGAGUGGGUGAGCGCGCCCCCCGUCCACUUCAUCGCGACGCCGGAGCAGGUGGCAGACCACCUCGAGCGCUGGAAGGCGCACUGGUUUCGGCAGGAGCAGGACGACGGGGAGCAGCAGAUGCGCUACGAGGCCAUGCUCCAACGCGAUGCGGAGGCGCUCUGGAUCGAGGAGGAGGAGGAGGAGCGCGCGCGGCUGGCCGCAAUGCCCCCGCCCCAACAGACGCCGGAGGAGGCUGUCCUGGCAGCAUACCAGACGGCGUUCGGGUGGGCAGACCCUGCUCCCGUCUUCAUCGACCUCACCGGCGAUGGCGACGGCGGUGUCGACGGCAAGUGCAAGGGCAAGGCCGACGGCGUCUAGGGCAGCGUGCAGGGCGGCAGAAGGCGGGCGCGGACUUUUUUAAUGUUUUAGUUAAUGUUUAAUUAUGUUUAAGUGGACUUUGGCCGGCGUUUGAUCGGCCACUUAUGUUUAAUUAAAUUUAUUUUAAGUUUAUUUNNNNNNNNNNNNNNNNNNNNNNNNNNNNNNNNNNNNNNNNNNNNNNNNNNNNNNNNNNNNNNNNNNNNNNNNNNNNNNNNNNNNNNNNNNNNNNNNNNNNNNNNNNNNNNNNNNNNNNNNNNNNNNNNNNNNNNNNNNNNNNNNNNNNNNNNNNNNNNNNNNNNNNNNNNNNNNNNNNNNNNNNNNNNNNNNNNNNNNNNNNNNNNNNNNNNNNNNNNNNNNNNNNNNNNNNNNNNNNNNNNNNNNNNNNNNNNNNNNNNNNNNNNNNNNNNNNNNNNNNNNNNNNNNNNNNNNNNNNNNNNNNNNNNNNNNNNNNNNNNNNNNNNNNNNNNNNNNNNNNNNNNNNNNNNNNNNNNNNNNNNNNNNNNNNNNNNNNNNNNNNNNNNNNNNNNNNNNNNNNNNNNACGUCCGCCUAGCCGACCCGACCCAAACAGAUGAAAAGCGGACAAAAACGAUGUUCGUUUGGGUCGGCACGUUGGAGUUGCUCUUAGAUGAUGUUGUUGUGUAGUACGAUUUCCAGGUUUUGAAAACAAGCAUGUGCAAACAAAAAAGUUUUGAGAUAAACAACCUCAAGUUUGUUUUCUUGAUAAUGGAUUCAGUACAUUGGAAAAUAUGGCACACCUGGAGAUAUUUCUGUCUACAGCCAGAGAGCAGUUUUUUAUUUUUAUUUUAUAUAUUUUCUACAUUUUACCAAAUAUGGCACACCUGGAGAUAAUGGAUUCAGUACUCCCUCCGUCUGAAAAUAUUUGCCAUCAAAAUGGACAAAAAAGGAUGUAUUUAGAACUAAAAUACAUCUAGAUACAUCCCUUUUAUUCAUUUUGAUGACAAGUAUUUUCAGACAGAGGGAGUACUAAUGUACUUCACGCAAUUCAUCAAGUACAAAAUCAAGUGAGAGAGCUGCUAAAUGCAAUAUUACGAGAGCUCAGGAGGCUAGAUGUAUAAUUUGUCAUCCAAGCCCACCUCAUCAUAUGUACCAUACGACAACCAUCUGAUGACCCAAGUGCUACUCCCGCCGUUCCUAAAUGUAAGUCUUUGUAGAGAUUUCACUACAAAUACAUACGAAUGUAUAUGGACAUAUUUUAGAGUGUAGAUUCACUCAUUUUGGUCCGUAUCUAGUCCAUAGUGAAAUCUUUAAAAAGACUUAUAUUUAGGAACGAAAAGAGUAGAUCGCAUGAUCGCAUAUGAAGCCCCGAUCUCAUUUAGUCUUCCCAAUGCAAAGAGAUGCGAAAUUCAAUACAAAUAGCAAAUAUGAAGUUCCACCUGUUCGUUCAUACUAGCAACUAUGGAUGCAUCCUGCCUAAAAUGGGCAAUGGAAAUUACCAUUUCGAUUGAUAGCAUCGUUCAACAAAAUGGGGAGAGAGAGAGUAUAAGUGUCUGUUUUUUUCAUAUAAAAGAGCCUCACACCCACCCAUGUAACCCAAAUCAACAGCAACGAUAACAAGGGAAUGUUCAGGUUCUUUCCCCUCACUGCAAAAAUACAGGUAUCAAAAGUUCACAACAAAAAUGUUAACGGCCAGAGGUUAUCCCAUUGUCUUCACCCCAAAAGUGCUUCUGCUAUGGGUCUCCUACUAGAUUACCUCCCAACUAACGGUACAUCAUCUUGAUCCCAAGCUACUUGACUGACCCAUCCAAAACAUCAAAACUACAAGACCUGCCCUAUGUGUUUCUGUUACAGCCACAAGCAUCAAGUGUCAUCGGAAC
Molecule: long non-coding RNA, 20912 nt
Filed under: Triticum aestivum (bread wheat)
Lineage: Eukaryota; Viridiplantae; Streptophyta; Magnoliopsida; Poales; Poaceae
Description: long non-coding RNA (TAES_LNC003814)
Rfam family: MIR1120/MIR1122 microRNA precursor family (bases 19932-20065)
Source: RNAcentral